Molecule: ribosomal RNA, 2356 nt
Filed under: Salmonella enterica subsp. enterica serovar Give
Lineage: Bacteria; Pseudomonadati; Pseudomonadota; Gammaproteobacteria; Enterobacterales; Enterobacteriaceae
Description: partial 23S ribosomal RNA
Rfam family: Bacterial large subunit ribosomal RNA
Source: RNAcentral
CCCUUUUGGGUGUGACUGCGUACCUUUUGUAUAAUGGGUCAGCGACUUAUAUUCUGUAGCAAGGUUAACCGAAUAGGGGAGCCGGAGGGAAACCGAGUCUUAACCGGGCGUUAAGUUGCAGGGUAUAGACCCGAAACCCGGUGAUCUAGCCAUGGGCAGGUUGAAGGUUGGGUAACACUAACUGGAGGACCGAACCGACUAAUGUUGAAAAAUUAGCGGAUGACCUGUGGCUGGGGGUGAAAGGCCAAUCAAACCGGGAGAUAGCUGGUUCUCCCCGAAAGCUAUUUAGGUAGCGCCUCGUGAAUUCAUCUCCGGGGGUAGAGCACUGUUUCGGCUAGGGGGCCAUCCCGGCUUACCAACCCGAUGCAAACUGCGAAUACCGGAGAAUGUUAUCACGGGAGACACACGGCGGGUGCUAACGUCCGUCGUGAAGAGGGAAACAACCCAGACCGCCAGCUAAGGUCCCAAAGUCAUGGUUAAGUGGGAAACGAUGUGGGAAGGCCCAGACAGCCAGGAUGUUGGCUUAGAAGCAGCCAUCAUUUAAAGAAAGCGUAAUAGCUCACUGGUCGAGUCGGCCUGCGCGGAAGAUGUAACGGGGCUAAACCAUGCACCGAAGCUGCGGCAGCGACACUCAGGUGUUGUUGGGUAGGGGAGCGUUCUGUAAGCCUGCGAAGGUGGCCUGUGAGGGUUGCUGGAGGUAUCAGAAGUGCGAAUGCUGACAUAAGUAACGAUAAAGCGGGUGAAAAGCCCGCUCGCCGGAAGACCAAGGGUUCCUGUCCAACGUUAAUCGGGGCAGGGUGAGUCGACCCCUAAGGCGAGGCCGAAAGGCGUAGUCGAUGGGAAACGGGUUAAUAUUCCCGUACUUGGUGUUACUGCGAAGGGGGGACGGAGAAGGCUAUGUUGGCCGGGCGACGGUUGUCCCGGUUUAAGCGUGUAGGUGUGUGUUCCAGGUAAAUCCGGUUCACUUUAACACUGAGGCGUGAUGACGAGGCACUACGGUGCUGAAGCAACAAAUGCCCUGCUUCCAGGAAAAGCCUCUAAGCAUCAGGUAACAUCAAAUCGUACCCCAAACCGACACAGGUGGUCAGGUAGAGAAUACCAAGGCGCUUGAGAGAACUCGGGUGAAGGAACUAGGCAAAAUGGUGCCGUAACUUCGGGAGAAGGCACGCUGACACGUAGGUGAAGUGAUUUACUCAUGGAGCUGAAGUCAGUCGAAGAUACCAGCUGGCUGCAACUGUUUAUUAAAAACACAGCACUGUGCAAACACGAAAGUGGACGUAUACGGUGUGACGCCUGCCCGGUGCCGGAAGGUUAAUUGAUGGGGUCAGCGCAAGCGAAGCUCCUGAUCGAAGCCCCGGUAAACGGCGGCCGUAACUAUAACGGUCCUAAGGUAGCGAAAUUCCUUGUCGGGUAAGUUCCGACCUGCACGAAUGGCGUAAUGAUGGCCAGGCUGUCUCCACCCGAGACUCAGUGAAAUUGAACUCGCUGUGAAGAUGCAGUGUACCCGCGGCAAGACGGAAAGACCCCGUGAACCUUUACUAUAGCUUGACACUGAACAUUGAGCCUUGAUGUGUAGGAUAGGUGGGAGGCUUUGAAGUGUGGACGCCAGUCUGCAUGGAGCCGACCUUGAAAUACCACCCUUUAAUGUUUGAUGUUCUAACGUGGACCCGUGAUCCGGGUUGCGGACAGUGUCUGGUGGGUAGUUUGACUGGGGCGGUCUCCUCCUAAAGAGUAACGGAGGAGCACGAAGGUUGGCUAAUCCUGGUCGGACAUCAGGAGGUUAGUGCAAUGGCAUAAGCCAGCUUGACUGCGAGCGUGACGGCGCGAGCAGGUGCGAAAGCAGGUCAUAGUGAUCCGGUGGUUCUGAAUGGAAGGGCCAUCGCUCAACGGAUAAAAGGUACUCCGGGGAUAACAGGCUGAUACCGCCCAAGAGUUCAUAUCGACGGCGGUGUUUGGCACCUCGAUGUCGGCUCAUCACAUCCUGGGGCUGAAGUAGGUCCCAAGGGUAUGGCUGUUCGCCAUUUAAAGUGGUACGCGAGCUGGGUUUAGAACGUCGUGAGACAGUUCGGUCCCUAUCUGCCGUGGGCGCUGGAGAACUGAGGGGGGCUGCUCCUAGUACGAGAGGACCGGAGUGGACGCAUCACUGGUGUUCGGGUUGUCAUGCCAAUGGCACUGCCCGGUAGCUAAAUGCGGAAGAGAUAAGUGCUGAAAGCAUCUAAGCACGAAACUUGCCCCGAGAUGAGUUCUCCCUGAGACUUAAAGUCUCCUGAAGGAACGUUGAAGACGACGACGUUGAUAGGCCGGGUGUGUAAGCGCAGCGAUGCGUUGAGCUAACCGGUACUAAUGAACCGUGAGG